This 69-nucleotide transfer RNA is filed under the name Ictidomys tridecemlineatus (thirteen-lined ground squirrel). Its description in RNAcentral is "Spermophilus tridecemlineatus (thirteen-lined ground squirrel) tRNA". It matches the Rfam family "tRNA". Rfam says of the family: Transfer RNA (tRNA) molecules are approximately 80 nucleotides in length. Lineage: Eukaryota; Metazoa; Chordata; Mammalia; Rodentia; Sciuridae. The record is from Rfam by way of RNAcentral.
GGGGUUGUGGCUCAGUGGUAGGGCACUCACCUAGCAUGUGUGUGGGUCUGGGUUCGAUCCUCGGCACCA